This 485-nucleotide ribosomal RNA is filed under the name uncultured bacterium. RNAcentral describes it as "bacterial SSU rRNA". It matches the Rfam family "Bacterial small subunit ribosomal RNA", at positions 28 to 507 of the family's 1533-position model. The record is from RNAcentral.
GAUGAACGCUAGCGGCAGGCCUAACACAUGCAAGUCGAGGGGCAGCACGGGUGGCAACACCUGGUGGCGACCGGCGCACGGGUGCGUAACGCGUAUGGAACCUACCCUCCGCAGGGGGAUAGCCCGCCGAAAGGCGGAUUAAUACCCCAUGGCUCCGAAGUCCCGCAUGGGGCGACGGAUAAAGCUACGGCGGCGGGGGAUGGCCAUGCGUGCCAUUAGCUGGUUGGCGGGGUAACGGCCCACCAAGGCGACGAUGGCUAGGGGGUCUGAGAGGAUGGUCCCCCCANACUGGUACUGAGACACGGACCAGACUCCUACGGGAGGCAGCAGUGAGGAAUAUUGGUCAAUGGGCGAAGCCUGAACCAGCCAUGCCGCGUGCAGGACGACGGCCCUACGGGUUGUAAACUGCUUUUUCUGCGGGAAGAAUAACCCCCUCGUGAGGGGGGAUGCCGGUACCGCAGGAAUAAGGAUCGGCUAACUCCGUG